RNAcentral lists this ribosomal RNA (444 nucleotides) under uncultured bacterium. RNAcentral's name for it is "partial 16S ribosomal RNA". It matches the Rfam family "Bacterial small subunit ribosomal RNA", at positions 356 to 817 of the family's 1533-position model. The record is from RNAcentral.
GGGGAAUAUUGCACAAUGGGCGAAAGCCUGAUGCAGCAACGCCGCGUGAGUGAUGAAGGUCUUCGGAUUGUAAAGCUCUGUCUUUUGGGACGAUAAUGACGGUACCAAAGGAGGAAGCCACGGCUAACUACGUGCCAGCAGCCGCGGUAAUACGUAGGUGGCGAGCGUUGUCCGGAUUUACUGGGCGUAAAGGGUGCGUAGGCGGAUGUUUAAGUGAGAUGUGAAAUACCCGGGCUUAACUUGGGUGCUGCAUUUCAAACUGGAUAUCUAGAGUGCAGGAGAGGAGAAUGGAAUUCCUAGUGUAGCGGUGAAAUGCGUAGAGAUUAGGAAGAACACCAGUGGCGAAGGCGAUUCUCUGGACUGUAACUGACGCUGAGGCACGAAAGCGUGGGUAGCAAACAGGAUUAGAUACCCUGGUAGUCCACGCCGUAAACGAUGAGUACU